Molecule: long non-coding RNA, 4346 nt
Organism: Cryptomeria japonica (Japanese cedar)
Lineage: Eukaryota; Viridiplantae; Streptophyta; Pinopsida; Cupressales; Cupressaceae
Exons: 2
Source: RefSeq, a predicted model, not a curated record
CUAUCUUUUUAUGUACUAAGGCAAAGUGUUGGCAUUAAAAUGUAACAGCCUAGCCUGACCUGCAAGGCACUAACCUUUAGACUCUGCUAAGGGAACAUAUGCAGAGUUCUGCCUCUUUGAAGGUGAAGGCUACAAUAGUAUAAGCUCUUGAUGGUGCUCUAUAUUGUUCAUGGACCUAAGCAAUUUGUGUUAGAAAUUGAAUGCAGAAAAUAUCAAUUAUAUGCAGAUAAAUAUUAAAUAUUAAAUACAGGAAUAAAAACACAGAAAUAAUAACAGCAAAGAGACAAUAUUUAACGUGGUUCACCCAAUCUUGGGCUACAUCCACCAAACAUAGAGUCCGAUAUUAUUAUCCAGUAAAUCGAAUCGAUUACAACCGGCAAUCCCUUGCAACUCAAUACCGCUGCAAAAUGCUACAAAAUUCUCUACAGAAAACCCUAACCCUUAGCCUUUUUAUCAAGACUUACGUCGGUUACAAAAUUAGGGUUACAAUAUGUCAGCCAAUAGAAAAAUAACACCUGAUGUCUUUAUAAAAUAAUAAUUCUUUUUGGCCUGGCGGGGCUUUGCACCUUGACCCCAUCUUGGGGGCGCUGCCCCCAAACCCUCGUCAAAAAAUAUGGGGGGAAACCCUGCCGAUAGAAGUAGGGAAAAUUUAACCUCCGAGUUUGAUUAGGCUACAUUUAACAACAAUUUGGCUUAUCAAUGUCUAGGACUCUUGACUAAUGAUGAGAAUACCGUGACGGCGUGAUGUGUGCAGAAUUUGGCUUGUUUAGAUGCCUUUGGUGCAGAAUGCUUGCGAACUCAAAAAGAAUUAAUUGAUCUGAGCACCCUUUGAGAUGCUGUCGAAAGUUUGCCAAAGCUUGGUACCAAGUCUCACUUGAGCUUAAGCGUAUAUCACCAUGUACAAACUCAAGAAAUCUUAACUGAGCUACGUGCUGACACUGAGGUAGCCAAUAGGGGAGUUGGUGUUGUGUUUCGAGGUCAUUCUGCCUGGCAUUUAGAUGGGUGGACCAGCAUUCUGUAAAUUUUUGGGGGAAAACUUAAUGCAUGCCUUAGUGAUGACAAGGAUAUUACUAUGAGGGUGUGCCUUCAAAUAACACUCCUUGCAUUUGAAUCACACCUGUUCUUGUAUGAAUUGUCAUGUCUCCUUUUCUGGAUUAAAAUAAUUAAUAAUACUAUUUAAGUUGGAUUCACUAGUACUAAAUACAAAGCAGUUAUGAUACCUAUGGGAAUUUGGUCUAAAAGCCUAUUUUUGAGUAGUAUAAAAGGAGACAUCUAUAGACAUCUAUCUUCAUUUGAAAGUCAACAUUCUAAGUUAUCCUUUUGCAUCUAAUUUUCAGAUUUGAGCAUUUUGUUCAAUGUAGGGCAUUUGAGGUCAAAAGCGCUUGGUUUGUUUGUGAAUUCCAUAUUUGGGAUCAAAGACAAAAACCUUUGCUUAAUCUUUGUUUGGUAGUUCCAUCUGGGAAUCACAAUUUUGCUGAUUUGUGGAGGGUUUGAAGAUAUUCGGUUUGCUUCAGUGUCACUACAGUAUUUUUUGCAAAGCAUUUUGUUCAAUGUAGGGUAUUCGAGGUCAAAAGCGCUUGGUUUGUUUGGGAUUUGAGAGGAUGAAAACCCUCGUGAAUUCCAUAUUUGGGAUCAAAGACAAAAACCUUUGCUUAAUCUUUGUUUGGUAGUUCCAUCUGGGAAUCACAAUUUUGCUGAUUUGUGGAGGGUUUGAAGAUAUUCAGUUUGCUGCAGUGUCACUACAGUAUUUUUUGUAAACAAACAUCAUUUCAUUGCCCAAGCAUAUUUGAGGAUUUACAUAUUCAUCUGUGAAUUUUUGAGCAUCAUAUAGAGUUCGAUCUGAGUUGUUUCAAUUAACUUAGUUGAGUGCCACAUUGGGAGGGAGAACAUUCAGUCAUUUUGAAUAUUCAAUCAUAUCAGCUGAUGUUUGUAUCAUUUCUGAUUUCAGUCAUCAUUCAUUAGCAAAAUGGGGAUAAAGUUGUAUUUUGAUAUGUUGCCAAUGUUUACAAGACAAAUCUGAUUUUUAUUAGCACAUUUUGACAAUUUCGCAAGGGUUUCAAAGGCAGAUUAGACUUCACCAGCCAGCUUUACAUCUUCAGUUAGCUGCCAUACCAUCUCAGGUUUCAAAGAAAAUUCAUAAAAAUAUUAUUUUUGGCAAUUUUGAGCAGCAAGCAGGGGUAGGGGUUUCUAGCAAUUUUGACAUUUUGCAACAGUCCGUGCUUCUGCCCCAGGCAGUACAGCAGCUGAGAGUGAUAAAAAAAUCAAUAAGAAAUUAUUUUGUUCCUGUUUAUCAUCUCUGUACUUUUCAAUUGGCAUUGCAAUAAAAUAGAAUAGAUCCUUAAGGGUUAUUGCUGGAACUUGGCAUUUUAUCCACCUGGGGUUUAUGGUUUGAUGACAUCAGUAAAAGAAGGGUUUGUAAAUUGUAAUCAUUCUGUGUACUUGCAGUUUCGAUUGGUUCUCAUAAAGUCAGAAAAAUAUAAUAAAAUAUUGCAUAUGUCCUAAUAGGGAUAUUACAUAAAUCUACAAUUAUUGUCAUAUAAGCUUGUAGUUGCAUCUGUAAUUUUUAAACCUGUGGACCAGCCCAUGGAUAAAGCAAUAGUCAUCAAAGACUUCGGACUAACUUGUUUAAUUAAUUGUUAAUUUAGGAUGGCCAAGGCAACGUUUUGGUUAGAAUCAUAAAAUUAGUAAGCAAUUAUAUCCUAUUGGGAUGGAUGACGAGCAUCAGGUGAUGCUUGUUUAUAAACAUGGUGUAGUGAUGACCGUCCACCAUACUAAGAUUUCAUUUUCUUACUCCCAAGCAUUACUAAUCAUCCUUGUUCCAUGUAUUUUGUUGUUGUGGACAAGUCUCCUUUGUUUGUGUUUGGCAGGUACAAUGAAGACAAUCUCUAACAAUGACAGUCCAACUUUGUGCUAUAAUACAGACUACAUAAGUGAGUUAACUUUUGUUGGUUUUGUAUGUAUAUCUAGAAAGGCUUUGAACUAAACGAAUAAUAUUGUUGACGACUUUGGUUACAUGAUAAUGGGCUAGAACUUUUUGUACCCUAUAACAUGAGCACUUGUGGAUCCCAAUUAUGUUUAAAGAAAGCUACAACCCUACGAAGUUCAACCAGAUAUCAGAUCACAAUCAAUGUAUGAGUUUGGAUGUCAACUAGCCUGGAAGUCAAUGGUGUAAAUGGUCUACGAAUCAUAUAAUAUGAAAACAGACUAACUUCGAUGAAUAUAAGGAUAGAACAGGUACAUUUUGUGUUUGAGAUAAUAGUUGUAAAUAUUUUGGAUAAUAACUUUUGGGGUUCAGCCAGAUAUCAGAUCACAAUGAAUGUAGGAGUUUGGAUGUCAAGUAGCCUGGAAGUCAAUGGUGUAAAUGGUCUACCAAUCAUAUAAUAUGAAAACAGACUUACUUAGAUGAAAAUAAGGAUAGAUCAGGUACAUUUUGUGUUUGAGAUAAUAGUUGUAAAUAUUUUGGAUAAUAACCUUCUUAUAGGCACUGAUUAGUUUAUAGUUUCAUGGAAUUUUAUUUCACUUUGUAUGCUUUGCUGCUGGUUUUUCUUGUUGUGUCAAAGGCAGUUAUGCACCAGCUCUUGUAGUUCAACUUCUGAAGAGAACUCUCCUAUUUUUUAACAACAUAUGCUAAGUGGAAGUUUGUCAUUUUCUCUUUUAUGGUGUAAUUUCAAGAUCUCAUGUGGUAUUAUUUGCAGCAUCUAUUUCUUGUAUGAUUGUUGUUGACAUAACUAAUGCAAAGAUUCUUAGUACUAUUUUUUUUUUCCACAAGUACUUAUUCACCACCAUAAGAGGUCUAAUGUGGGUUAAAAGGUCUACGGUACCAAAAGUUCUAGCCCAUUGUCAUAUAACCAAAGUUGUCAAGAAUGUUUUUUGUUUAAUUAAAAGCUUUUCUAGAGGUCUAAGGGUGUUGAAAUUAGACUUUCAGAUUUAAUGGAAAACUCAGAAACUGAAUCUUAAUUGAUUUGCUGUUUGGUUUAGUGACUUUCAGAAUUAGGCAUAAACAGAAAGAUGAACAAUAAUGAAACACGGCACGCAAAUACCCUGGGAAAACCUCCUAAGAGGAAAAACCCAGCAAUAAAGACCCACAGGUCUGAUAAUGCAUUCAAUUCCAAAAGGUUUGCACUAGGUUCUUACUUCCACAGGGAAUAAGUCUGCCCUUUCAAAUGAAUAUAUUUGCUUCGGGUCUGUAUCAGAUCUGCACCUUGAAGAACUUGCUAUCAACAACAACAAUAUUCACUACGAUCUUGAACAGAUUUGCCAAGUUCAGUAACAACUUUCGCACCUUUAAAACAGAUAUCCUUUUUCGCUGUUUAUGUAUUUAUUGAAUGGCAAAUGAUUUUGUUAUA